UACAGGGGGUGCAAACGUUGCUCGGAAUCAUUGGGCGUAAAGCGCACGUAGGCGGUUUGUUAAGUCAGGGGUGAAAUCCCGGAGCUCAACUCCGGAACUGCCUUUGAUACUGGCAAGCUAGAGUCCGGAAGAGGUAAGUGGAACUCCUAGUGUAGAGGUGGAAUUCGUAGAUAUUAGGAAGAACACCAGUGGCGAAGGCGGCUUACUGGUCCGGAACUGACGCUGAGGUGCGAAAGCGUGGGGAGCAAACAGG
RNAcentral lists this ribosomal RNA (253 nucleotides) under uncultured bacterium. RNAcentral describes it as "partial 16S ribosomal RNA". It matches the Rfam family "Bacterial small subunit ribosomal RNA", at positions 524 to 776 of the family's 1533-position model. The record is from RNAcentral.